GAUGAACGCUGGCGGCGUGCUUAACACAUGCAAGUCGAACGGGAUCCAAGGGGUGCUUGCACUUUUUGGUGAGAGUGGCGAACGGGUGAGUAACACGUGAGUAACCUGUCCUUUUCUUUGGGAUAAGCAUUCGAAAGGGUGUUUAAUACCUUAUGUUCUGUCUGCCUCGCAUGGGGUGGGUGGGAAAGGCUUUGGCCGGAUUUGGGUGGGCUCGCGGUCUAUCAGCUUGUUGGUGGGGUGAUGGCUUACCAAGGCUUUGACGGGUAGCCGGCCUGAGAGGGUGGUCGGUCACAUUGGGACUGAGAUACGGCCCAGACUCCUGCGGGAGGCAGCAGUGGGGGAUAUUGCACAAUGGGCGAAAGCCUGAUGCAGCGACGCCGCGUGGGGGAUGAAGGCCGUCGGGUUGUAAACUUCUGUUGCUCUGAACAAGGCAUGCCAGUGGGUGUGUUGAGUGUAGGGGUUGAUUAGCGCCGGCUAACUACGUG
Molecule: ribosomal RNA, 485 nt
Filed under: uncultured bacterium
Lineage: Bacteria
Description: partial 16S ribosomal RNA
Rfam family: Bacterial small subunit ribosomal RNA
Source: RNAcentral